CACACGCAGCUCCGGGUUCGAGGCAGGAGCGACGGAUUCCGGGGAAACUCGCUGGUGGACUCAGAUUGUGAAGCUGUUGUUCAGGAAAUGUUGCUGGCCAGAGCCUCCGCUCUGUUGUUUACAAGAGGCUGAUUAUCUGGAGCGCAUCCCCACAGCAUGAUGCUGCCUCCGCCGUGCUUCACCACAGGGAUGCUGCUGGCCUGCUGGUGAAUGCUUCCCGGCUUCCUCCAGACAUUAUUCACACCAGAGAGUUCGGACCAGGAGUCUGCAGCCGGCGUCUCUGGAGCCUCUUCAGCCCCUGGAGCGCGGCGCCUGCAGCUUCCACAAAACUGCAUAUUAACCAGCUUUUGUUGGGGCAGUGACAAAAAAAGGGAGCAGUGGUUGGUGUUG
Long non-coding RNA from Salarias fasciatus (jewelled blenny), 390 nucleotides. RefSeq lists it as uncharacterized. The record is from RefSeq and is a predicted model, not a curated record. Lineage: Eukaryota; Metazoa; Chordata; Actinopteri; Blenniiformes; Blenniidae. The transcript has 3 exons.